Molecule: ribosomal RNA, 780 nt
Filed under: uncultured bacterium
Lineage: Bacteria
Description: bacterial SSU rRNA
Rfam family: Bacterial small subunit ribosomal RNA
Source: RNAcentral
UAUGGNUCAACCAUAGUGUGCUCUGGAAACUNUCUGACUUGAGUGCAGAAGGGGAGAGUGGAAUUCCAUGUGUAGCGGUGAAAUGCGUAGAUAUAUGGAGGAACACCAGUGGCGAAAGCGGCUCUCUGGUCUGUCACUGACGCUGAGGCUCGAAAGCGUGGGUAGCGAACAGGAUUAGAUACCCUGGUAGUCCACGCCGUAAACGAUGAGUGCUAGGUGUUAGGCCCUUUCCGGGGCUUAGUGCCGGAGCUAACGCAAUAAGCACUCCGCCUGGGGAGUACGACCGCAAGGUUGAAACUCAAAGGAAUUGACGGGGGCCCGCACAAGCGGUGGAGCAUGUGGUUUAAUUCGAAGCAACGCGAAGAACCUUACCAGGUCUUGACAUCCCGAUGCUAUUCUUAGAGAUAGGAAGUUACUUCGGUACAUCGGAGACAGGUGGUGCAUGGUUGUCGUCAGCUCGUGUCGUGAGAUGUUGGGUUAANUCCCGCAACGAGCGCAACCCUUAUUGUUAGUUGCCAUCAUUAAGUUGGGCACUCUAGCGAGACUGCCGGUAAUAAACCGGAGGAAGGUGGGGAUGACGUCAAAUCAUCAUGCCCCUUAUGACCUGGGCUACACACGUGCUACAAUGGUCGGUACAACGAGUUGCGAGCCGGUGACGGCAAGCUAAUCUCUGAAAGCCGAUCUCAGUUCGGAUUGGAGGCUGCAACUCGCCUCCAUGAAGUCGGAAUCGCUAGUAAUCGCGGAUCAGCACGCCGCGGUGAAUACGUUCCCGGGCCUUGU